RNAcentral lists this ribosomal RNA (445 nucleotides) under uncultured bacterium. Its description in RNAcentral is "partial 16S ribosomal RNA". It matches the Rfam family "Bacterial small subunit ribosomal RNA", at positions 354 to 796 of the family's 1533-position model. The record is from RNAcentral.
GUGAGGAAUAUUGGUCAAUGGGCGGGAGCCUGAACCAGCCAAGUCGCGUGAAGGAAGUAGGAUCUAUGGUUCGUAAACUUCUUUUGCAGGGGAAUAAAGUGCAGGACGUGUCCUGUUUUGUAUGUACCCUGAGAAUAAGGAUCGACUAACUCCGUGCCAGCAGCCGCGGUAAUACGGAGGAUCCGAGCGUUAUCCGGAUUUAUUGGGUUUAAAGGGUGCGUAGGUGGUUUGAUAAGUCAGCGGUGAAAGUUUGCAGCUUAACUGUAAAAAUGCCGUUGAAACUGUCGGACUUGAGUGUAAAUGAGGUAGGCGGAAUGCGUGGUGUAGCGGUGAAAUGCAUAGAUAUCACGCAGAACUCCGAUUGCGAAGGCAGCUUACUAAGCUACAACUGACACUGAAGCACGAAAGCGUGGGGAUCAAACAGGAUUAGAUACCCGUGUAGUCC